Long non-coding RNA from Balaenoptera ricei (Rice's whale), 711 nucleotides. RefSeq lists it as uncharacterized. The transcript is spliced from 2 exons. The record is from RefSeq and is a predicted model, not a curated record. NCBI's taxonomy places the organism in Eukaryota, Metazoa, Chordata, Mammalia, Artiodactyla, Balaenopteridae.
GAUGAGUCGCCAUGUUGAGAGAGUGAGCAUGUUCUCUUAAGGUCAGCGUUUGAUCUCUAUUGAGGGGGGGCAGACUGACUCAACGAAUAGCCACCAACUCCAGGCAUCCCGCUUUUUUCAAAAGGAACUGGGAUUCUAAAACUAAGGGCUUGGAACACUACCACCAGAAUUCUAGAACUGCCCCAGAAGGAUUCUAUUUUCCCUGAGUCGCCCCUCCAAAAAUCAGUCCUCAAUUUUGGCAACUCCUAGUGCUGUCCUGGCCUUCACCCUUAUUCCCCCAAACUUCCCUUUCCCUUAAUUCCUCUAAAAUUCCUCUUCCCCUGGUCAUUUUGAUUAAACUUCUACUUCACAUCACCCCAGCGUCGCUGGCUUCAGACUGGAAGAGUGAAGUCAAAAGAGGGGGGAUGGGGGCUUCCCUGGUGGCGCAGUGGUUAAGAAUCCACCUGCCAGUGAAGGGGACACGGGUUCGAACCCUGGUCCAGGAGAUCCCACAUGCUGCAGAGCAACUAAGCCCGUGUGCCACAACUACUGAGCCCGUGUGCCACAACUACGGAAGCCCGCGCGCCUAGAGCCUGUACCCUGCAACAAGUCACCGCAAUGAGAAGCCCGCGCACUGCAACGAAGAGUAGCCCCCGCUCGCCGCAACUAGAGAAAGCCCACGCGCAGCAACAGACCCAACACAGGCAAAAAUAAAAUAAGUAAAUAAAUAAA